CGGUUGAUCCUGCCGGACCCGACUGCUAUUUGGGUGAGAAUAAGCCAUGCAAGUUGAAUGGGAUGCCUAAACUUCCCAUAGCAAACUGCUCAGUAACACAUGAUCAACUUACCCUAUAGAGAAAAAUAACCUCGGGAAACUGAGGAUAAUGUUUCAUAGUUGAAAAGGCUUGGAAAAGUUUUUCAAUAAAAAGGAUAAGGAAAAUGGUUCUUAUCUGCUAUAGGAUAGGAUCGUGGUCGAUUAUGGUUGUUGGUGAGGUAAUGGCUCACCAAGCCGAUAAUCGAUAGGGGCCGUGAGAGCGGGAGCCCCGAGAUGGGUACUGAGACAACGACCCAGGCCUUACGAGGCGCAGCAGGCGCGAAACCUCCGCAAUACACGAAAGUGUGACGGGGUUACCCAAAGUGUUCAAUUCUGAACUGUGGUAGGUGAGUAAUGUCCCCUACUAGAAAGGAGAGGGCAAGGCUGGUGCCAGCCGCCGCGGUAAAACCAGCUCUUCAAGUGGUCGGGAUAAUUAUUGGGCUUAAAGUGUCCGUAGCCGGUUUAGUAAGUUCCUGGUAAAAUCGGGUAGCUUAACUAUCCGUAUGCUAGGAAUACUGCUAUACUAGAGGGCGGGAGAGGUCUGAGGUACUACAGGGGUAGGGGUGAAAUCUUAUAAUCCUUGUAGGACCACCAGUGGCGAAGGCGUCAGACUGGAACGUGCCUGACGGUGAGGGACGAAAGCCAGGGGAGCGAACCGGAUUAGAUACCCGGGUAGUCCUGGCUGUAAACGAUGCAUACUAGGUGAUGGUACGGCCAUGAGCCGUAUCAGUGCCGUAGGGAAACUGUUAAGUGUGCCGCCUGGGAAGUACGGUCGCAAGGCUAAAACUUAAAGGAAUUGGCGGGGGAGCAC
RNAcentral lists this ribosomal RNA (889 nucleotides) under uncultured archaeon. RNAcentral's name for it is "bacterial SSU rRNA". It matches the Rfam family "Archaeal small subunit ribosomal RNA", at positions 5 to 879 of the family's 1478-position model. The record is from RNAcentral.